UGGGGAAUUUUCCGCAAUGGGCGAAAGCCUGACGGAGCAACGCCGCGUGAGGGACGAAGGCCUCUGGGCUGUAAACCUCUUUUCUCAAGGAAGAAGAUAUGACGGUACUUGAGGAAUAAGCCACGGCUAAUUCCGUGCCAGCAGCCGCGGUAAUACGGGAGUGGCAAGCGUUAUCCGGAAUUAUUGGGCGUAAAGCGUCCGCAGGCGGCUUUUCAAGUCUGCUGUUAAAGCGUGGAGCUUAACUCCAUCAUGGCAGUGGAAACUGAAAGGCUUGAGUAUGGUAGGGGCAGAGGGAAUUCCCGGUGUAGCGGUGAAAUGCGUAGAUAUCGGGAAGAACACCAGUGGCGAAGGCGCUCUGCUGGGCCAUUACUGACGCUCAUGGACGAAAGCCAGGGGAGCGAAAGGGAUUAGAUACCCCUGUAGUCA
Molecule: ribosomal RNA, 426 nt
Filed under: uncultured cyanobacterium
Lineage: Bacteria; Bacillati; Cyanobacteriota
Description: bacterial SSU rRNA
Rfam family: Bacterial small subunit ribosomal RNA
Source: RNAcentral